AAUCCAAUCUAAGUCAAACUAAACUCAAUUCAAUUAGACUUGAUCUAAAGCUCUUUGCUCAAUCAAAUUGAGUUAAUUAUCAAUCUAAUUGCUAAUUAAUUUUUUAUUAAUAAUAGAGUUUCAGUCCAGUGAGACUCUCUUCCAGAGUUUCAGUCUUAGUAGGACUCUUCAUCAAAGUCACAAUCUAAUUAGACUCUUCAGCCAUC
RNAcentral lists this long non-coding RNA (206 nucleotides) under Elaeis guineensis (African oil palm). Its description in RNAcentral is "long non-coding RNA (EGUI_LNC018630)". Lineage: Eukaryota; Viridiplantae; Streptophyta; Magnoliopsida; Arecales; Arecaceae. The record is from RNAcentral.